This 746-nucleotide ribosomal RNA is filed under the name uncultured cyanobacterium. RNAcentral describes it as "bacterial SSU rRNA". It matches the Rfam family "Bacterial small subunit ribosomal RNA", at positions 8 to 796 of the family's 1533-position model. Lineage: Bacteria; Bacillati; Cyanobacteriota. The record is from RNAcentral.
AGAGUUUGAUCCUGGCUCAGGAUGAACGCUGGCGGUAUGCUUAACACAUGCAAGUCGAACGGAACUCUUCGGAGUUCAGUGGCGGACGGGUGAGUAACGCGUGAGAAUCUGGCUUCAGGUUCGGGACAACCAUUGGAAACGAUGGCUAAUACCGGAUGUGCCGCAGGGUGAAAGAUUAAUUGCCUGAAGAUGAGCUCGCGUCUGAUUAGCUAGUUGGUGGGGUAAGAGCCUACCAAGGCGACGAUCAGUAACUGGUCUGAGAGGAUGACCAGUCACACUGGGACUGAGACACGGCCCAGACUCCUACGGGAGGCAGCAGUGGGGAAUUUUCCGCAAUGGGCGAAAGCCUGACGGAGCAAUACCGCGUGAGGGAGGAAGGCUCUAGGGUUGUAAACCUCUUUUCUCAGGGAAGAACAAAAUGACGGUACCUGAGGAAUAAGCAUCGGCUAACUCCGUGCCAGCAGCCGCGGUAAUACGGAGGAUGCAAGCGUUAUCCGGAUUUAUUGGGCGUAAAGCGUCCGCAGGUGGCAGUUCAAGUCUGCUGUCAAAGGUCGGGGCUCAACCCCGAACAGGCAGUGGAAACUGAACAGCUAGAGUACGGUAGGGGCAGAGGGAAUUCCCAGUGUAGCGGUGAAAUGCGUAGAGAUUGGGAAGAACACCGGUGGCGAAAGCGCUCUGCUAGGCCGAAACUGACACUCAUGGACGAAAGCUAGGGGAGCGAAUGGGAUUAGAUACCCCAGUAGUCC